This is a non-coding RNA of Phrynosoma platyrhinos (Desert horned lizard), 72 nucleotides long. The record is from the annotation of a GenBank genome assembly. Lineage: Eukaryota; Metazoa; Chordata; Lepidosauria; Squamata; Phrynosomatidae.
GCCAGUGUGGUGUAGUGGUUUGAGCCUUGGACUAUGACUCUAAAGACCAGGGUUCAAAUCACUACUCAGUCA